CCUACGGGUGUCAGCAGUGGGGAAUAUUGCGCAAUGGGCGAAAGCCUGACGCAGCGACGCCGCGUGAGGGAUGAAGGUCUUCGGAUCGUAAACCUCUGUCAGCAGGGAAGAACGGUCACUGUGCUAAUCAGCAGGGAAUUGACGGUACCUGCAAAGGAAGCACCGGCUAACUACGUGCCAGCAGCCGCGGGAAUACGGAGGGUGCGAGCGUUAAGCGGAAUUACUGGGCGUAAAGCGCUCGUAGGAGGUAUGUCAAGUAAAGGGUGAAAUCCCCGCGCGCAACGUGGGAACUGCCUUUGAAACUGGCAAACUUGAGUGGGUGAGAGGUUAGUGGAAUUCCAGGUGUAGGAGUGAAAGCCGUAGAUAUCUGGAGGAACAUCAGUGGCGAAGGCGACUAUCUGGCACAUAACUGACGCUGAGGAGCGAAAGCGUGGGUAGCAAACAGGAUUAGAUACCCGAGUAGUC
RNAcentral lists this ribosomal RNA (465 nucleotides) under uncultured bacterium. RNAcentral's name for it is "partial 16S ribosomal RNA". It matches the Rfam family "Bacterial small subunit ribosomal RNA", at positions 338 to 795 of the family's 1533-position model. The record is from RNAcentral.